RNAcentral lists this ribosomal RNA (446 nucleotides) under uncultured bacterium. RNAcentral's name for it is "bacterial SSU rRNA". It matches the Rfam family "Bacterial small subunit ribosomal RNA", at positions 329 to 792 of the family's 1533-position model. The record is from RNAcentral.
GCCCAGACUCCUACGGGAGGCAGCAGUGGGGAAUAUUGCACAAUGGGGGAAACCCUGAUGCAGCAACGCCGCGUGGGUGAAGGAGCGUUUCGGCGCGUAAAGCCCUGUCAGCGGGGAAGAAGAAAGACGGUACCCGACCAAGAAGCCCCGGCUAACUACGUGCCAGCAGCCGCGGUAAUACGUAGGGGGCGAGCGUUAUCCGGAUUUAUUGGGUUUAAAGGGUGCGUAGGCGGGCUUUUAAGUCAGCGGUAAAAAUUCGGGGCUCAACCCCGUCCGGCCGUUGAAACUGGGGGCCUUGAGUGGGCGAGAAGAAGGCGGAAUGCGUGGUGUAGCGGUGAAAUGCAUAGAUAUCACGCAGAACUCCGAUUGCGAAGGCAGCAUACCGGCGCUCAACUGACGCUGAAGCACGAAGGCGUGGGUAUCGAACAGGAUUAGAUACCCGGGUA